AGCAGCCGCGGUAAUUCCAGCUCCAAUAGCGUAUAUUAAAGUUGUUGCAGUUAAAAAGCUCGUAGUUGAAUUUCGGGGUCAGUGGGUUGGUCGUGCCACUGGUAUGUACUGGCCCUACUGAUUCCUCCUUCUUGAAGAACUGUAAUGCCAUUAACUUGGUGUUGCAGGGAAACAGGACUGUUACUUUGAAAAAAUUAGAGUGUUUAAAGCAGGCAAUCGCUUGAAUACAUUAGCAUGGAA
This 240-nucleotide ribosomal RNA is filed under the name uncultured Glomus. RNAcentral describes it as "partial 18S ribosomal RNA". It matches the Rfam family "Eukaryotic small subunit ribosomal RNA", at positions 569 to 814 of the family's 1831-position model. Lineage: Eukaryota; Fungi; Glomeromycota; Glomeromycetes; Glomerales; Glomeraceae. The record is from RNAcentral.